Molecule: long non-coding RNA, 661 nt
Organism: Syzygium oleosum
Lineage: Eukaryota; Viridiplantae; Streptophyta; Magnoliopsida; Myrtales; Myrtaceae
Exons: 2
Source: RefSeq, a predicted model, not a curated record
AGUGUUUUGACCACUUGAUCUCAUGCUUAUUGGGCUCGGUGCAGCAUGCACCCAGUGAUGACUUUGCCCCUCGAUUUGGUAGCCAGAGUUUUUGGAAUCUUCAUUUUGAGUAGCCAUUUGUUGCAGCUCAACCAUCCUUAGAACUACAAUAAGAUUUGCUGUGCGAAUGGUGGAGAGUCGGUGGGCAAUGACGAUUACCGUCCUCCCUGCAGAAGCUUUAUCAAUUGCUUCCUGUACAGUCCUUUCGGACUGAGCAUCCAGUGCACUAGUGGCUUCAUCAAGGAGCAGGAUUUUUGGAUCUCUAACGAGAGCUCUUGCUAUGGCAAUUCGCUGCUUUUGACCACCAGACAAUUGAAAGCCAAAUUGACCAACCUAUAGAAUUUGUGAUGGUCAGGGGUUACAACAAUUUAGAAAGAGCACACAAUCACUUGGGAUUUACACUAGACUAAUAGUGCAAAAGAAAAUAAUUCAGUAUAUCUCAGACAAAAACUCAAACUAACUUUUAGGAGGGAUUUUCUCUCAUUGCAUCUCAAGGGAGAUAGUUUAGUGGCACAGCAGAAAAAUGCUGAUUUCAAAUGUUUUACUAUCUUUUCAUCUCUGGCAUUAGCUUUUUUUGUUGGUUUUUGACUGUGUUAUACAUUCCUACAGUUCAUGCGUUUCU